UCCUGAAGCUUUAACCUCAUCUCAUCUGCUUCAUAGUCCACUGGAUAUGGGCUUUGAAUUUCCAAGUAAUCUGCUUCAGAAUUGAACUGAUAGGUACCACAGUGUCUCACUGGUGCAAAAGUGUUGUAGGGACCUUGAGUGGUCAUGAAGGAUCCUGUGCCAGUUCUUGGCUGGUAAGAAGAUGCAUCUUGUAGGUGAAAUGAAUUCCCAUAAAUGCUAGAACUAGAUGGCUGUAUUAAUUCUUCUACUGGGGAGUCAAUGAAGUAUUUCUCAUAACUCUCACUAGAGUAAGAAUCGGUCAUAUACAUGGUCUUACGCCGAUCAGAGCAAAAUAUUUGGUUGGAGAACCCAGAAUUCUCGUUGCUCCCAUUCAAUGAGUAAAGCUUAUGAUUUUGGUAGGGUGUGGCAGAAAGCUCUGCAGGUCUAACUAAUGACAUGAUUUCUCUAAAUUAACCCAGUCUUGGAGAGUGAUGCGAUCAUAUAUUGCAAUGCCUCAAGAGGAAGCAAUAAGGUUCAUAUCAACAGCUAAUCCAUCAAUUUCAGGAGAUAAUCAGAUAGACAUAAACCGCAAGAUUAGCUUUGAAGGAAGGGAGAAACAUAAGCCUUUGACUCUAAAGAACAGUGUCUAAAGAGAAGCCAAAAGCAAGUAUGCCUCUUUAUGCUCUCCAACAUUUUCUUUGAGAAAGAAACUUCUNNNNNNUGUGAGGUUAUUGGGCAGGUUGAAGUGCAACAAAUCAGAUAAAAAAUUAAAAUAAUGAAAGCUUAC
This 766-nucleotide unclassified non-coding RNA is filed under the name Hevea brasiliensis (rubber tree). The record is from RNAcentral. Lineage: Eukaryota; Viridiplantae; Streptophyta; Magnoliopsida; Malpighiales; Euphorbiaceae.